This 640-nucleotide ribosomal RNA is filed under the name uncultured bacterium. RNAcentral describes it as "bacterial SSU rRNA". It matches the Rfam family "Bacterial small subunit ribosomal RNA", at positions 239 to 898 of the family's 1533-position model. The record is from RNAcentral.
CAUUAGCUAGUUGGUGAGGUAACGGCUCACCAAGGCGACGAUGCGUAGCCGACCUGAGAGGGUGAUCGGCCACAUUGGAACUGAGACACGGUCCAGACUCCUACGGGAGGCAGCAGUGGGGAAUAUUGCACAAUGGGCGAAAGCCUGAUGCAGCAACGCCGCGUGAGUGAUGACGGCCUUCGGGUUGUAAAGCUCUGUCUUUUGGGACGAUAAUGACGGUACCAAAGGAGGAAGCCACGGCUAACUACGUGCCAGCAGCCGCGGUAAUACGUAGGUGGCAAGCGUUGUCCGGAAUUAUUGGGUUUAAAGGGUCCGUAGGCGGUUUGAUAAGUCAGUGGUGAAAGCCCAUCGCUCAACGAUGGAACGGCCAUUGAUACUGUCAGACUUGAAUUACUAGGAAGUAACUAGAAUAUGUAGUGUAGCGGUGAAAUGCUUAGAUAUUACAUGGAAUACCAAUUGCGAAGGCAGGUUACUACUAGUGGAUUGACGCUNAUGGACGAAAGCGUGNGGAGCAAACAGAUUAGAUACCCUGGUAGUCCACGCCGUAAACGAUGCAUACUAGUGUNNGGGUUUCGAUGCCCUUGGUGCCGAAGUUAACACAGUAAGUAUGCCGCCUGGGGAGUACGCUCGCAAGAGUGAA